GGGCUCAGUCGGUGGAGCAUGAGACUCUUAGUCUCAGGAUCGUGGCUUCGAGCCCCACGUUGGGCA
RNAcentral lists this transfer RNA (66 nucleotides) under Podarcis lilfordi (Lilford's wall lizard). RNAcentral's name for it is "tRNA.Lys". It matches the Rfam family "tRNA". Rfam says of the family: Transfer RNA (tRNA) molecules are approximately 80 nucleotides in length. The record is from RNAcentral. Lineage: Eukaryota; Metazoa; Chordata; Lepidosauria; Squamata; Lacertidae.